Long non-coding RNA from Gambusia affinis (western mosquitofish), 401 nucleotides. RefSeq lists it as uncharacterized. The record is from RefSeq and is a predicted model, not a curated record. The transcript is spliced from 2 exons. NCBI's taxonomy places the organism in Eukaryota, Metazoa, Chordata, Actinopteri, Cyprinodontiformes, Poeciliidae.
CCAGGACAUACACCAGUUCUUCAGUGUGGGAAUAUUAAUAAGAUUAACUGUCCUCAACAAAUAUUUUCCAUAAACUCGUACAUUUACCAAUAUUUGUUUUGUGGCAAAACUCCAGGAGUGGAUAUUUGCUCUGGCGACUCUGGUGGAGGAGUUGAGUACAACGGCAGGAUUUAUGGUGUCCAAGUUUUAGUUGGAAAAUUUCCAUGCAGGAAACCAGCAUUAUUCAUGGAUCUCUGUCAUCCAGACUAUCUGAGCUGGAUUGAAAAAACUAUUGGACCACCUCCAAACCCAGGAUUUGAUGUCCAAAUUGUUCAUUUUGUUUGAUCUACGCAUGAAUAUUAAACCUUAACCUGGUUGAAAAAAAUAAAAAUAAAAAUGAAAGCAGCUAUAGCAUCCGAACA